ACGGCAUCUUUACGAGGCCUGUAUUGGAUGAGUACACUUUAAAUCCUUUAACAAGGACCUAUUGGAGGGCAAGUUCUGGUGCCAGCAGCCGCGGUAACUCCAGCUCCAAUAGCGUAUAUUAAUGUUGUUGCGGUUAAAACGUUCGUAGUUGAACUUGUGCUUCAUACGGGUAGUACAACUAUAAUUUUAGAUUGUGCUAUACCUUAUGUAUGUAAGCGUAUUACCGGUGGGGUUCUUAUAUGCAAAUGUAAUACUUGUAUUCUUUUGUAUAUUCCUCCUAUUUAAACCUGCCUCAAUGCUCUUCAUCGGGUGUUGUUGCGGGCCGGUACAAUUACUUUGAACAAAUUAGAGUGCUUAAAGCAGGCUCCAAAUGCCUGAAUAUUUUGUGCAUGGAAUAAUGGAAUAAGACCUCUGUUCUACUUUCAUUGGUUUUUAGAUCAAGAGGUAAUGAUUAAUAGAAGCAGUUUGGGGGCAUUAGUAUUACGACGCGAGAGGUGAAAUUCUUGGACCGUCGUAAGACUAACUUAAGCGAAAGCAUUUGCCAAAGAUGUUUUCAUUAAUCAAGAACGAAAGUUAGGGGAUC
This 583-nucleotide ribosomal RNA is filed under the name Melophagus ovinus. RNAcentral describes it as "SSU rRNA". It matches the Rfam family "Eukaryotic small subunit ribosomal RNA", at positions 485 to 999 of the family's 1831-position model. The record is from RNAcentral. Lineage: Eukaryota; Metazoa; Arthropoda; Insecta; Diptera; Hippoboscidae.